This 253-nucleotide unclassified non-coding RNA is filed under the name uncultured Phycisphaeraceae bacterium. Its description in RNAcentral is "contains 16S-23S intergenic spacer region". It matches the Rfam family "Bacterial small subunit ribosomal RNA", at positions 524 to 776 of the family's 1533-position model. Lineage: Bacteria; Pseudomonadati; Planctomycetota; Phycisphaerae; Phycisphaerales; Phycisphaeraceae. The record is from RNAcentral.
UACAGAGGGCUCGAGCGUUGCGCGGAAUUACUGGGCUUAAAGGGUGCGCAGGCGGAUCAGUAAGUGUCUUGUGAAAUCCCCCGGCUUAACCGGGGAAUGGCUCGGCAGACUGCUGAUCUUGAGCCCGGCAGGGGCCGUCGGAACGCUAGGUGGAGCGGUGAAAUGCGUAGAUAUCUAGCGGAACGCCAAAGGUGAAGACAGACGGCUGGGCCGGCGCUGACGCUCAGGCACGAAAGCGUGGGUAGCGAACGGG